UUAAAAGUAUAAUUGGGCUGCGCUGCAGCCCAGAAGUGAGGCCGCGUAGGGUUAAGUAUAAAAGAGAAAGAGAUCGAGAUAGCAGAGGAUCCGAGAUAAGAGAAAGAGAUCGAGAUAGCGGCGAACCCUAAAUCGAAGCUAUUUUCUGCAGAGACGCAAAGAUGAAUUUUGUCGAGAAGAUGAUGGCAAUAGGCCUUUCUACUGGCUUUGCUGGAUUCAUCGGAUUGUCGAUUUAUUUCUCGGUCGAGAACUGGAAUAAUUACAACUAUUAUAUAAAGCUCAAGUUGAGAAACUGAGAGCGAAGAAUGAAAGGGAUUCCCGUGAAUGAUCCCCCAUAACAAGGAAGGAAUCCAGAAGUCUCCUCUGCAGAGAUGAUUAGUUAUAUAUGUGGUGCCUCUCUCCCACAACCCCUAUAACUGGAUUUGGGAGCCUCGAUGCUAAGACUAUUCUUUGGUCCGUUCUUUUUGUCUUCCCCAAUUUCUAUCACUUUUUCUCUUCCCCAAUUUUUAUCAUGAAAAAAUUUCAGAUUUGAAUUUCAAGAUGAUCUUGUUCUUAUCCGAAAAACAAGAUCUUGAAAUAGGUUGAAUGAUGACUGCAACGGUGGAGGUUGAUUGAUUUGAUGACUGGUUUGUAAAAUUGUGUGAUUGUUGCAAGAUCUUGUUCAAUCAUGUAUUCUUGAAGAUGAGAUGGAGGUAGGAUAAUCAAUGGAAGGAAUAUAUAAUCUGUGGGCUACCUUGGAACCAUAUCUGAAAACAGAGGAAGGUGCAGAGAGAGAGAGAGAGAGAGAGAGAGAGAGAGAGUUGAAACAGGAGAAUACGGACAAAAAGAAGGGUUAUUUUGUAAAAUCAGUAACUUUUUAUGUUGAGGAGAUAUGUAGACCAUUGGAUAUGAGACUUAACAGAUGUCUUAAUCUCUAUAAAAGCUUAGGUAGGUUUAGGAGGGGAAUGAGAUUAGGAGAGGAUCCGGAUCCCAAAUAAGAGGCUUGAUUCUCUAUUCUGACUUCGUUGUAUUUAUGACAAGUUAUUAAUUAGUAACCAUCUGUCUUUAACCAAAGACACUAUGGAUAUGAUCCAAGCAUCAGCA
Molecule: long non-coding RNA, 1083 nt
Organism: Rosa rugosa (rugosa rose)
Lineage: Eukaryota; Viridiplantae; Streptophyta; Magnoliopsida; Rosales; Rosaceae
Exons: 2
Source: RefSeq, a predicted model, not a curated record